CGGCGGACGGGUGAGUAAUGCCUAGGAAUCUGCCUGGUAGUGGGGGACGAACGUUUCGAAAGGAACGCUAAUACCGCAUACGUCCUACGGGAGAAAGCAGGGACCUUCGGGCCUUGCGCUAUCAGAUGAGCCUAGGUCGGAUUAGCUAGUUGGUGAGGUAAUGGCUCACCAAGGCGACGAUCCGUAACUGGUCUGAGAGGAUGAUCAGUCACACUGGAACUGAGACACGGUCCAGACUCCUACGGGAGGCAGCAGNG
RNAcentral lists this ribosomal RNA (257 nucleotides) under uncultured Pseudomonas sp. Its description in RNAcentral is "partial 16S ribosomal RNA". It matches the Rfam family "Bacterial small subunit ribosomal RNA", at positions 96 to 356 of the family's 1533-position model. The record is from RNAcentral. Lineage: Bacteria; Pseudomonadati; Pseudomonadota; Gammaproteobacteria; Pseudomonadales; Pseudomonadaceae.